Etheostoma cragini (Arkansas darter) is the source of this 242-nucleotide long non-coding RNA. RefSeq lists it as uncharacterized. The record is from RefSeq and is a predicted model, not a curated record. The transcript has 3 exons. Lineage: Eukaryota; Metazoa; Chordata; Actinopteri; Perciformes; Percidae.
CAGACUCAGCAGUGAAGGAGUGGACCUGUUGUCAAAGUUCCUGCAGUUUGAAGGGAAGAAGAGGAUCUCAGCAGCCGAGUCGAUGAAUCAUCGUUACUUCAGUAACCUUGGCAACAAAGUGACCGCCCUACCUGACACCACGUCCAUCUUCAGUCUGCCGGAGAUUCAACUGGAAAAAGAAACAAUCAGACCAGCUGUCACACUUGACCCAGGUAACGCACACAUACACAUACACACACACA